UACGUAGGUGGCAAGCGUUGUUCGGAAUUAUUGGGCGUAAAGAGCGUGUAGGCGGCCAUGUAGGUCCGGUGUGAAAACUCGAGGCUCAACCUCGAGAUGUCGGCGGAAACCGUUUGGCUAGAGUCCGGAAGAGGAGAGUGGAAUUCCUGGUGUAGCGGUGAAAUGCGCAGAUAUCAGGAAGAACACCUAUGGCGAAGGCAGCUCUCUGGGACGGUACUGACGCUGAGACGCGAAAGCGUGGGGAGCGAACAGG
Molecule: ribosomal RNA, 253 nt
Filed under: uncultured bacterium
Lineage: Bacteria
Description: partial 16S ribosomal RNA
Rfam family: Bacterial small subunit ribosomal RNA
Source: RNAcentral